RNAcentral lists this ribosomal RNA (651 nucleotides) under uncultured Rhizophagus. RNAcentral describes it as "SSU rRNA". It matches the Rfam family "Eukaryotic small subunit ribosomal RNA", at positions 624 to 1276 of the family's 1831-position model. Lineage: Eukaryota; Fungi; Glomeromycota; Glomeromycetes; Glomerales; Glomeraceae. The record is from RNAcentral.
AAGCUCGUAGUUGAAUUUCGGGGUUAGUAGGUUGGUCAUGCCUCUGGUAUGUACUGGUCUCACUGAUUCCUCCUUCCUGAUGAACCGUAAUGCCAUUAAUUUGGUGUUGCGGGGAGUUUGGACUGUUACUUUGAAAAAAUUAGAGUGUUUAAAGCAAGCUAACGCUUGAAUACAUUAGCAUGGAAUAAUGAAAUACGACGUUCGAUCCUAUUUUGUUGGUUUCUAGGAUUGACGUAAUGAUUAAUAGGGAUAGUUGGGGGCAUUAGUAUUCAAUUGUCAGAGGUGAAAUUCUUGGAUUUAUUGAAGACUAACUACUGCGAAAGCAUUUGCCAAGGAUGUUUUCAUUAAUCAAGAACGAAAGUUAGGGGAUCGAAGACGAUCAGAUACCGUCGUAGUCUUAACCAUAAACUAUGCCGACUAGGGAUCGGAUGAUGUUAAUUUUUUAAUGACUCAUUCGGCGCCUUACGGGAAACCAAAGUGUUUGGGUUCCGGGGGGAGUAUGGUCGCAAGGCUGAAACUUAAAGGAAUUGACGGAAGGGCACCACCAGGGGUGGAGCCUGCGGCUUAAUUUGACUCAACACGGGGAAACUUACCAGGUCCAGACAUAGCAAGGAUUGACAGACUGAGAGCUCUUUCUUGAUUCUAUGGGUG